GAUGAACGCUGGCGGCGUGCCUAAUACAUGCAAGUCGAGCGAACGGACGAGAAGCUUGCUUCUCUGAUGUUAGCGGCGGACGGGUGAGUAACACGUGGAUAACCUACCUAUAAGACUGGGAUAACUUCGGGAAACCGGAGCUAAUACCGGAUAAUAUUUUGAACCGCAUGGUUCAAAAGUGAAAGACGGUCUUGCUGUCACUUAUAGAUGGAUCCGCGCUGCAUUAGCUAGUUGGUAAGGUAACGGCUUACCAAGGCAACGAUGCAUAGCCGACCUGAGAGGGUGAUCGGCCACACUGGAACUGAGACACGGUCCAGACUCCUACGGGAGGCAGCAGUAGGGAAUAUUGCGCAAUGGGCGAAAGCCUGACGGAGCAACGCCGCGUGAGUGAUGAAGGUCUUCGGAUCGUAAAACUCUGUUAUUAGGGAAGAAAAUAUGUGUAAGUAACUGUGCACAUCUUGACGGUACCUAAUCAGAAAGCCACGGCUAACUACGUG
This 497-nucleotide ribosomal RNA is filed under the name uncultured bacterium. Its description in RNAcentral is "partial 16S ribosomal RNA". It matches the Rfam family "Bacterial small subunit ribosomal RNA", at positions 28 to 507 of the family's 1533-position model. The record is from RNAcentral.